This 253-nucleotide ribosomal RNA is filed under the name uncultured bacterium. RNAcentral's name for it is "partial 16S ribosomal RNA". It matches the Rfam family "Bacterial small subunit ribosomal RNA", at positions 524 to 776 of the family's 1533-position model. The record is from RNAcentral.
UACGUAGGGGGCAAGCGUUGUCCGGAUUUAUUGGGCGUAAAGAGCGUGUAGGCGGUCUGGUAGGUCCAUUGUGAAAACUCGAGGCUCAACCUCGAGACGCCGAUGGAAACCAUCAGACUAGAGUCCGGAAGAGGAGAGUGGAAUUCCUGGUGUAGCGGUGAAAUGCGCAGAUAUCAGGAAGAACACCCGUGGCUAAGGCGGCUCUCUAGUACGGUACUGACGCUGAGACGCGAAAGCGUGGGGAGCGAACAGG